Molecule: non-coding RNA, 111 nt
Organism: Capsicum annuum
Lineage: Eukaryota; Viridiplantae; Streptophyta; Magnoliopsida; Solanales; Solanaceae
Source: Rfam
AGACUAUUGGUGAUGUGGACAAUCCUAAAAAAAAGCCUUGACACAUUCUUAAGCAUGAUAGAGGUUUUCAUCAAUCUUCUAUUUGAAGCUCACUAUUUCACUGUGAAGUCU